GAUGAACGCUGGCGGCGUGCUUAACACAUGCAAGUCGAACGGAAAGGCUCCUGCUUGCAGGGGUACUCGAGUGGCGAACGGGUGAGUAACACGUGGGUGAUCUGCCCUGCACUUCGGGAUAAGCCUGGGAAACUGGGUCUAAUACCGGAUAGGACGAUGGCUUGGAUGCCAUUGUGGAAAGUUUUUUCGGUGUGGGAUGAGCUCGCGGCCUAUCAGCUUUUUGGUGGGGUAAUGGCCUACCAAGGCGUCGACGGGUAGCCGGCCUGGGAGGGUGUACGGCCACAAUGGGACUGAGAUACGGCCCAGACUCCUACGGGGGGCAGUAGGGGGGAAUAUUGCACAAUGGGAGCAAGCCUGAGGCGGCGGCGCCGCGUGGGGGAUGACGGCCUUCGGGGUGUAAACUCCUUUCGCUAGGGACGAAGCGCAAGUGACGGUACCUGGAGAAGAAGCACCGGCUAACUACGUG
Molecule: ribosomal RNA, 466 nt
Filed under: uncultured bacterium
Lineage: Bacteria
Description: partial 16S ribosomal RNA
Rfam family: Bacterial small subunit ribosomal RNA
Source: RNAcentral